AUACGUAGGUGACAAGCGUUAUCCGGAUUUACUGGGCGUAAAGGGCGUGUAGCCGGGUUGGCAAGUCAGAUGUGACAUCUAUGGGCUUAACUCAUAAACUACAUUUGAAACUGCUGAUCUUGCGUAUCGGAGAGGCAAUCGGAAUUCCUAGUGUAGCGGUGAAGUGCGUAGAUAUUAGGAGGAACACCAGUGGCGAAGGCGGAUUGCGGGACGACAACGGACGCUGAGGCGCGAAAGCGUGGGGAGCAAACAGGAUUAGAUACCCGGGUAGUCCACGCCGUAAACGAUGAAUACUAGGUGUAGGGGGUAUCGACUCCCUCUGUGCCGCAGUUAACACAAUAAGUAUUCCGCCUGGGGAGUACGGCCGCAAGGUUGAAACUCAAAUGAAUUGACGGGG
Molecule: ribosomal RNA, 397 nt
Filed under: uncultured bacterium
Lineage: Bacteria
Description: partial 16S ribosomal RNA
Rfam family: Bacterial small subunit ribosomal RNA
Source: RNAcentral